ACGGGAGGCAGCAGUGGGGAAUAUUGCACAAUGGGGGAAACCCUGAUGCAGCGACGCCGCGUGAGUGAAGAAGUAUUUCGGUAUGUAAAGCUCUAUCAGCAGGGAAGAUAAUGACGGUACCUGACUAAGAAGCACCGGCUAAAUACGUGCCAGCAGCCGCGGUAGUACGUAUGGUGCAAGCGUUAUCCGGAUUUACUGGGUGUAAAGGGAGCGUAGACGGCAAUGCAAGUCUGAUGUGAAAUCUCCGGGCUCAACCCGGAAACUGCAUUGGAAACUGUAUAGCUAGAGUGCAGGAGAGGUAAGCGGAAUUCCUAGUGUAGCGGUGAAAUGCGUAGAUAUUAGGAGGAACACCAGUGGCGAAGGCGGCUUACUGGACUGUAACUGACGUUGAGGCUCGAAAGCGUGGGGAGCAAACAGGAUUAGAUACCCUGGUA
Molecule: ribosomal RNA, 434 nt
Filed under: uncultured Lachnospiraceae bacterium
Lineage: Bacteria; Bacillati; Bacillota; Clostridia; Lachnospirales; Lachnospiraceae
Description: partial 16S ribosomal RNA
Rfam family: Bacterial small subunit ribosomal RNA
Source: RNAcentral